Molecule: ribosomal RNA, 372 nt
Filed under: uncultured organism
Description: bacterial SSU rRNA
Rfam family: Bacterial small subunit ribosomal RNA
Source: RNAcentral
CAGAGGGUGCAAACGUUGCUCGGAAUUACUGGGCGUAAAGCGCGUGUAGGCGGGAAGAUAAGUCGGGUGUGAAAUCCCUGGGCUCAACCUAGGAACUGCAUCCGAAACUGUCUUUCUGGAGUGAUGGAGAGGAAAGCGGAAUUCCCGGUGUAGAGGUGAAAUUCGUAGAUAUCGGGAGGAACACCAGUGGCGAAGGCGGCUUUCUGGCCAUCAACCGACGCUGAGACGCGAAAGCGUGGGGAGCAAACAGGAUUAGAUACCCUGGUAGUCCACGCUGUAAUCGAUGAGUGCUAGGUGUUGUGGGUAUUGACCCCCGCGGUGCCGUAGCUAACGCGUUAAGCACUCCGCCUGGGGAGUACGGCCGCAAGGCUA